This 212-nucleotide ribosomal RNA is filed under the name uncultured archaeon. Its description in RNAcentral is "partial 16S ribosomal RNA". It matches the Rfam family "Archaeal small subunit ribosomal RNA", at positions 457 to 673 of the family's 1478-position model. The record is from RNAcentral.
UUAUCUAGCCGGGAUCCCCGGCGCGGAUGGUCGGGACGAUUAUUGGGCCUAAAGCGCCCGUAGCCGGCUCGGCAAGUCUCCUCCUAAAUCCCCCGGGCUCAACCCGAGGAUUGGAGGAGAUACUGCCGAGCUAGGGGGUGGGAGAGGCCGAGGGUACUCCCGGGGUAGGGGCGAAAUCCUAUAAUCCCGGGAGGACCACCAGUGGCGAAGGC